Paramuricea clavata is the source of this 455-nucleotide non-coding RNA. The record is from the annotation of a GenBank genome assembly. Lineage: Eukaryota; Metazoa; Cnidaria; Anthozoa; Malacalcyonacea; Plexauridae.
CCAGAAACGAGAAAUAACCGUCUUUAAAUACAGCUGAAAACGGAGAACGCAUAUUGAAUACACCGCAAGCACGAUACACGGCAUCCAUGUCGGGAUCGAAAAACGUUUAAUAAAAAGAUGACUGAACGAAGAACGAAUAAUUAAAUUACCCCAAUACGCAGCACGAAAAUACCCCAUUACCCCCCUCUUAUGUAGAAAUAUAACAGAUAUGUACCUGGCCCAGUGAAGCAGAUAAUCGAGGAAAGCAACACGAAAACCUGAGUGGUUGAUAGCAUCAUGGCGAUGCUCGGAGAUCUCAUAAAAGGGCAAGAGGUUAAAUCAGAUUCCACAGCGACAAUAAUGUGCCCAAGCGGAUGAUGCUCAAACAAUGUUUACACUCGUUCGUGACGUAUAACUAUUAUAAUUUCAUGAUAUGCAUAUAAAUUCGGAGUUACCAUCGCUGUUAUUAGAUAGCA